AAUCCCAUGCCCAAACAUAAUGCAACGCGGUGACAUCGCGCUAUUGCGCCAUUUUGCGACUACUUGGCGGUCUUUUUUUGAAUCGGCAUCAAUUUAUCAGGCGGCCUGCAGUGCACUUACAGCUCGAACUGUGAAGCCAUAUUGUUGUAAGGUUGAUGACAAAUGAGGUCAUGGCCUGUUUCAGUAUGAAGUGGGGGAAGGGGAAGCUUGCCUUCACCAAGAUCAACCUGUACACUGUUGUCACAGAGAGUGUCCAGAAAACAUCAAAAGAGACGGGGCAAAUAUUGCAGCGGCCACCGCCUUUUGUUUAAAAUAUGCCCCAGCAGAGCCGUCACAAGGAGGGUGAGAGGCCCUGUGCAAAGUUGACAUGCGAGGCCCUCUACAAUUUUGCGUGUGUGCGUGCGUGCGUGUGUGUGUGUGUGGUGGGGGAGGUUGCUGUAGUAAGGCAAGGCAAGUUUAUUUAUAUAACAGAUUUCGUACACAAUGGUAAUUCAAAGUGCUUUACAUAAA
Cyprinus carpio (common carp) is the source of this 510-nucleotide long non-coding RNA. RefSeq lists it as uncharacterized. The record is from RefSeq and is a predicted model, not a curated record. Lineage: Eukaryota; Metazoa; Chordata; Actinopteri; Cypriniformes; Cyprinidae.